AUCCAGCUGACGAGUCCCGAAUAGGACGAAACGCGUGUCCUGGAU
Schistosoma rodhaini is the source of this 45-nucleotide non-coding RNA. The record is from Rfam. Lineage: Eukaryota; Metazoa; Platyhelminthes; Trematoda; Strigeidida; Schistosomatidae.